This 301-nucleotide ribosomal RNA is filed under the name uncultured bacterium. RNAcentral's name for it is "partial 16S ribosomal RNA". It matches the Rfam family "Bacterial small subunit ribosomal RNA", at positions 509 to 807 of the family's 1533-position model. The record is from RNAcentral.
CAGUAGCCGCGGGAAUACGAAGGGGGCUAGCGUUGCUCGGAAUCACUGGGCGUAAAGGGUGCGUAGGCGGGUCUUUAAGUCAGGGGUGAAAUCCUGGAGCUCAACUCCAGAACUGCCUUUGAUACUGAAGAUCUUGAGUUCGGGAGAGGUGAGUGGAACUGCGAGUGUAGAGGUGAAAUUCGUAGAUAUUCGCAAGAACACCAGUGGCGAAGGCGGCUCACUGGCCCGAUACUGACGCUGAAGCACGAAAGCGUGGGGAGCAAACAGGAUUAGAUACCCACGUAGUCCCUGUCUCUUAUAC